AUUUCAAUCAAAUUUCAAACUCUGAGAUAUCACAGCCCUAAAUACUACCCUGGAAAUUAAGUUUGAUUCUUUGAGUUUCCAUCUAUAACUAUGUGCCAAAAGAUAUAACUUGUGGUGAGAUCUCCUUGGACUUUACCACAUAUAUGAAUAUUAGUCCACAUUAUUGUACAGAAAACAGGAUUUUGGUAGGCCAGGUGUCAACAGUGGUUAGGUAGAAGUUACAUCUCAAUCUGUGGCUGGUUUUGACUGGUGAUGAGUGAUUUACAAUUUUAUCCUUAUAUUUCCAAAAUCCAGAUGCUUGCAUCUGAUCCACAAAUCUUAGGUCCACCAAAUCACCAGACCCUUUUAGUUGUCUGCUAAGUAUUUAAACAUGUAUAAGUUUUGGGUCUGUUUAGUAUUAUUAUUAAAAUUGAAAUACGAAAAAAAUACUUUCUUAAAUCAACUUUUUACCCCAAAACUUAAUGGCAAAGAUGACCUUAGUCUGAUAAUAAUUCUUCUGCCUCUCAACUUGGACAAAGUCUAAGUUUUAAGUCCUCCUUCCUCCUUCUCUUUAAAAAAAAUUAGAAAAAAAAAAAUUUAAAAAAAAAA
RNAcentral lists this unclassified non-coding RNA (588 nucleotides) under Hevea brasiliensis (rubber tree). The record is from RNAcentral. Lineage: Eukaryota; Viridiplantae; Streptophyta; Magnoliopsida; Malpighiales; Euphorbiaceae.